Molecule: ribosomal RNA, 465 nt
Filed under: uncultured bacterium
Lineage: Bacteria
Description: bacterial SSU rRNA
Rfam family: Bacterial small subunit ribosomal RNA
Source: RNAcentral
CCUACGGGGUGCAGCAGUGGGGAAUAUUGCACAAUGGGCGCAAGCCUGAUGCAGCCAUGCCGCGUGUAUGAAGAAGGCCUUCGGGUUGUAAAGUACUUUCAGCGGGGAGGAAGGUGUUGUGGUUAAUAACCGCAGCAAUUGACGAUACCCGCAGAAGAAGCACCGGCUAACUCCGUGCCAGCAGCCGCGGUAAUACGGAGGGUGCAAGCGCUAAUCGGAAUUACUGGGCGUAAAGCGCACGCAGGCGGUCUGUCAAGUCGGAUGUGAAAUCCCCGGGCUCAACCUGGGAACUGCAUUCGAAACUGGCAGGCUAGAGUCUUGUAGAGGGGGGUAGAAUUCCGGGUGUAGCGGUGAACUGCGUAGAGAUCUGGAGGAAUACCGGUGGUGAAGGCGGCCCCCUGGACAAAGACUGACGCUCAGGUGCGAAAGCGUGGGGAGCAAACAGGAUUAGAUACCCCCGUAGUC